AAACACACUACUUGAACUUUGAUUUCUGGGUACAAAACAGUGAAAUUUCCACAAGCUUGAAAGAGAUCAAGGAAAUGCUGGACUCUAUAUACCUCCUUUUUUUUUUUAGAUGGACCAAAUGAGCCUUUCAACAGAUGGUUGUUCAUGAACACUGGUGCAUCUGAUCUGAAAGAAAUGAAGUUAAGAAGUACUAAAUCUAUAGCCUUUAAAUUAAGGAGCACCUUGCCUGCAUCUUUUAUAGUCUUUCUAAGCCACUAAAGUGGUGGUGUUGUUUUUUUUAACAAUUUUACAUGUGGAAAGGGGGGGGGGGAUAACUUUUUUCCCCCUUUAGUUUGACGUUAUUUGUAUUUUCUUAAAUGAAAGAAAAAAAGAACAUCGUAGCUUUCUCUGCUUCCAUUAAAAAUGGAGUUGGUCUAAUGGUAGAAAGCAAGCCUACAUUUUUGCAACAUUUCAUAGCAUGCCGAGAAAUAAUCCACUGAAUCAAGCGAGAAUGUGAAAUCCAGCACGCGUUUAUUUAAUCGUUUUACCAGUAACCCACAAUGCCAGUGAGGAGCUUUCUAUGUGCUGUUGGCCAAAGGGGGAGUAUAGUUUUGGGCACUCCAGUAUGAAGGGACAGUCUGUUCAAGAUUAACUUGUGUAAUUUUGGUCAGUUGGAUGCUGCUCUAUUGUCCCACGGCAAAAAUGUGUUCAAAAUGCUCAAAGGUAGUGUUGAGUGUGCUGUGCAAACAGACUUUAAAAAUAAAUAUUUUGUAUAUAGUGUGUGCAUCUGUAUGUGUUGGUAAAUGGGAACAAGUGAGCUGCUUUAACCCCGGGAUGAAUGAAAGGAAGGACACAGUGGUUUUCUCCUAUUUUUCAGCUUGGAAAGUUGCUGUUGCAUUCAUGAGGCACUAUGUGUACGUUUUUUAGUAAAGCCACGGGAACCAUAAAAGCAUGCAUAUCUGUGAUGUUACAUGAAGAAAUAUGCGGGCAUCUGCUGCUCACCUGUAAGGCCCGGGAAGUGUGCAUUGCUAUCCAUUGGUUUCCCUGCCUUCCUCUGAAGCCCUGGACACUGCCCACACCUAAAAAUACAGAUUUUGACUGUAGUACCCUGGUGCCAAGACCCAAGAGGUUUGUAUAUAUCAGGGGGUAUUAUUCUUCCACUCCGGGUCUAAGCAAUCUCUGUAUUUGGGUGAUAGGAUGCCAUUUUCCAUGA
Molecule: long non-coding RNA, 1192 nt
Filed under: Crocodylus porosus (Australian saltwater crocodile)
Lineage: Eukaryota; Metazoa; Chordata; Crocodylia; Crocodylidae
Description: lncRNA (ENSCPRG00005018576.1)
Source: RNAcentral